RNAcentral lists this ribosomal RNA (462 nucleotides) under uncultured bacterium. Its description in RNAcentral is "partial 16S ribosomal RNA". It matches the Rfam family "Bacterial small subunit ribosomal RNA", at positions 29 to 507 of the family's 1533-position model. The record is from RNAcentral.
AGUGAACGCUGGCGGCGUGCCUAAUACAUGCAAGUCGAACGGAGAUUAAGUAGCUUGCUAUUUAAUCUUAGUGGCGCACGGGUGAGUAAUAUAUAGCUAACUUGCCCAUUACUAAGGGACAACAGUUGGAAACGACUGCUAAUACCUUAUACUCCGUAUCUAUAUAAGUAGAUACGGGAAAGUUUUUCGGUAAUGGAUAGGGCUAUAUCGUAUCAGCUAGUUGGUAAGGUAAUGGCUUACCAAGGCUAUGACGCGUAACUGGUCUGAGAGUAUGAUCAGUCACACUGGAACGGAGACACGGUCCAGACUCCUACGGGAAGCAGCAGUAGGGAAUAUUGCUCAAUGGGGGAAACCCUGAAGCAGCAACGCCGCGUGGAGGAUGACACUUUUCGGAGCGUAAACUCCUUUUCUUGGGAAAGAAUUAUGACGGUACCCAAGGAAUAAGCACCGGCUAACUCCGUG